GAUGAAGAACGUAGCGAAAUGCGAUAAGUAAUGUGAAUUGCAGAAUUCAGUGAAUCAUCGAAUCUUUGAACGCACAUUGCGCCCGCCAGUAUUCUGGCGGGCAUGCCUGUCUGAGCGUCAUUUCAACCCUCAUGCCCUAGGGCGUGGUGUUGGGGAUCGGCCAAAGCCCGCGAGGGACGGCCGGCCCCUAAAUCUAGUGGCGGACCCGUCGUGGCCUCCUCUGCGAAGUAGUGAUAUUCCGCAUCGGAGAGCGAUGAGCCCCUGCCGUUAAACCCCCAACUUUCCAAGGUUGACCUCAGAUCAGGUAGGAAUACCCGCUGAACUUAAGCAUAUCAAUAAGCGGAGGA
This 347-nucleotide unclassified non-coding RNA is filed under the name soil metagenome. RNAcentral's name for it is "partial contains 5.8S ribosomal RNA, internal transcribed spacer 2, and large subunit ribosomal RNA". The stretch from base 1 to 120 matches the Rfam family "5.8S ribosomal RNA", at positions 35 to 154 of the family's 154-position model. The record is from RNAcentral.